This 230-nucleotide ribosomal RNA is filed under the name uncultured bacterium. Its description in RNAcentral is "partial 16S ribosomal RNA". It matches the Rfam family "Bacterial small subunit ribosomal RNA", at positions 109 to 339 of the family's 1533-position model. The record is from RNAcentral.
CGUAACGCGUAUGCAACUUACCUUAUACUGGGGGAUAGCCCGGAGAAAUUCGGAUUAAUACCGCAUAUGCUCACAGUUUCGCAUGGAACAGUGAGGAAAGAUUUAUCGGUAUAAGAUAGGCAUGCGUCCUAUUAGCUUGUUGGUGAGGUAACGGCUCACCAAGGCGAUGAUAGGUAGGGGGCCUGAGAGGGCGACCGGCCACACUGGGACUGAGACACGGCCCAGACUCC